This 843-nucleotide long non-coding RNA is filed under the name Mus musculus (house mouse). RNAcentral describes it as "cDNA sequence BC023486". Lineage: Eukaryota; Metazoa; Chordata; Mammalia; Rodentia; Muridae. The record is from RNAcentral.
AUUCUUGAUGUCUCUGCAAGACUGUUUUGGGGGUGAAAUUAACAGGCAAGUUGGUGAGCUUUGGUGAAGCAAACAACCUUACAUGAUGUGAGUGGUCCUUGUGCCCAGUUGAAGCCUUCUGUGGCCCUGCAGACUCCUGACUGAACUAACACAGUUGGGGAGAAUAAGCCGUAAAAAGGGGAGCUUUUCUGUCCUUUCACUUUGCACUGAUGCCCCAUCCAUCCUCCCUUUCUGCUUGCCAUGGUAAAUGGUGUCCGACGUAACACAGAUGCACUGUGCACUGGAGAGGCAGAGCAUCCUGCCUUCCACAGCCGUGCACACCAGUCCCUGUGCACAAGUGGCCACCCACCCAGCGAAUCGACGUGGUGUGCUUAUCAAAAUCUGUGUGUCUGUGGGCCAGAGCCAAAUCCAGCAGAGCCCCAUCCUGAAUGCCCAGCGGUGCCCACAGCCAGGAGGAGCAUUCGAUGUGUGAUGACUCAUCUCGUGCAUCAGACGCUCUCUAAAGUUCCCACAGAUUAUACCAUGGCUUAGUGAGUGCGAUUCUAAGACAGUUCCAAAAGACUUUUCAAUCCGUGGGAGUUUCAAAGUGGAUUCUCAGACAAACAUGGGGAGGACUGAGGCAGGCUUGGACACGCACAGAAUCAGACAACGAUGGGCUGAGGAAGUGGCUCAGCGGUUAAGAGCACUGUCUGCUCUUCCAAAGGUCCGGAGUUCAAAUCCCUGCAACCACAUGGUGGCUCACAACCAACUGUAAUGAGAUCUGGCGCCCUCUUCUGGAGUGUCUGAAGACAGAUACAGUGUACUUACAUAUAGUAAAUAAAUAAAUCUUAAAAAAAAAAAAAA